CCUACGGGAGGCUGCAGUAGGGAAUUUUCGGCAAUGGGGGGAACCCUGACCGAGCAACGCCGCGUGAACGAAGAAGUUAUUCGUAAUGUAAAGUUCUUUUAACAGGGAAGAAAGAGAAAUUUGACGGUACCUGAAGAAUAAGCUCCGUCUAACUACGUGCCAUCAGCCGCUGUAAUACGUGGGUAGCGAGCGUUAACCGGAAUUAUUGGGCGAAAAGGGUGCGUAGAUGGCAUAGUAAGUCUUUUGUAAAAAUGCUGGGCUCAACCAAGAAGGGCAAAAGAUACUGGAAAGCUAGUGUACAACAGAGGCAAGUGGAAGUACAUGUGUAGCGGUAAAAUGCGUAAAUAUAUGUAAGAACACCAGUGGCGAAGGCGGCUUGCUGGGUCGAUACUGACAUUGAGGCACGAAAGCGUGGGGAGCAAACAGGAUUAGAUACCCGGGUAGUC
RNAcentral lists this ribosomal RNA (446 nucleotides) under uncultured bacterium. RNAcentral's name for it is "partial 16S ribosomal RNA". It matches the Rfam family "Bacterial small subunit ribosomal RNA", at positions 338 to 795 of the family's 1533-position model. The record is from RNAcentral.